GGACGCAUUUGUUUUCCCACAUAGCAGCGGGGUGAAGGUGUUGGUGGUGGCGGCAUUGAGGGAUUUUAGCCGUUUGGGAGCCUUUCGAACCCGUGAGGUGGCUGCCGGAAGGAUUGCAUCAGUCUACACUCUUGAAUUGGGGUACACCGGGCAUGUCCCGUCGACCUUGAGCUACCAGAUUCUAAGUUCGAGGCAUUUUGAAGAGUUUUGUGAGCGCGUCACAGGUACACCGGGCAGGUCCCAUCGACCUUGAGCUACCAGAUUCGAAGUUCGAGGCAUUUCGAAGAGUUUUGUGAACGCACCACAGGUUUUGGCGGACCCGGGGCAGCAGACUGAGCAGGUGGCUUUACUCACGUCCUACUGGGGAG
This is a long non-coding RNA of Nymphaea colorata (pocket water lily), 368 nucleotides long. RefSeq lists it as uncharacterized. The record is from RefSeq and is a predicted model, not a curated record. The transcript has 4 exons. Lineage: Eukaryota; Viridiplantae; Streptophyta; Magnoliopsida; Nymphaeales; Nymphaeaceae.